This is a non-coding RNA of Pelobates cultripes (western spadefoot toad), 566 nucleotides long. The record is from the annotation of a GenBank genome assembly. Lineage: Eukaryota; Metazoa; Chordata; Amphibia; Anura; Pelobatidae.
GCCAUUUGAGUCGGCAGCCAUAUUUGAAAUAGUCUAUUCCUUUGUUCGUCAUUUAGGCUGUAUUUGUCUAAAUUAGACUCAAACAUUUCAGCAUUAGUAAAUGCAUCCACUGACGUGUCAUAAACUGGAAUACAUUUCACAAUUUUCAUUAAUUGUUCAUGGAUUUUCAAAUUAAGUUUUGCAGCUCUAUCUUGAAAUUUACAUUUCUGCAAAUCACUCUGUGAGGAUACAUUUUCAGUAUCUAUUGGUUCUGGGAUUAGAUUCUGUGCCUGUAUGUUUCUUGUAUUAACACACACUAGUUUAACUUCUUUUCUAAGCUGGCAACUCAAAUCAUUUCUUUGUUCAACUCUAUCCUCUAAUUCACAGACUUUUUCUGACAAUGUUCUCUCUGUUACUUUGUUACACUGUUCAUUUAAAUCUGAUUUGUCUUCUGUUAACCCAUUCAAAUCUACUUCUUUUUCUGAUGAUUCAAAAUUUUCUUGACCUGCAUCUCGUUUACAAAUCAAUGCAUUGUAAGUACAGACUAGUUUCAUAACAUUUCUGAUCUUUGUUUUUUCUUAUUAACA